UCGAAGUCCGGGCCAGCAGCCUCGGUAAUACGGAGGAUCCAAGCGGUAUACGGAUUGAGUGGGGUUAAAGGGUCCGUAGGCGGGAGACUAAGUCAGUGGUGAAAGCCUGCAGCUUAACUGUAGCACUGCCAUUGAUACUGGUAUUCUUGAGUAUAGUUGAAGUGGGCGGAAUAAGUCAUGUAGCGGUGAAAUGCAUAGAUAUGACUUAGAACACCUAUUGCGAAGGCAGCUCACUAAGCUAUUACUGACGCUCAGGGACGAAAGCGUGGGUAGCAAACAGGAUUAGAUACCCUUGUAGUC
Molecule: ribosomal RNA, 300 nt
Filed under: uncultured Campylobacter sp.
Lineage: Bacteria; Pseudomonadati; Campylobacterota; Epsilonproteobacteria; Campylobacterales; Campylobacteraceae
Description: bacterial SSU rRNA
Rfam family: Bacterial small subunit ribosomal RNA
Source: RNAcentral